This 397-nucleotide ribosomal RNA is filed under the name uncultured bacterium. Its description in RNAcentral is "partial 16S ribosomal RNA". It matches the Rfam family "Bacterial small subunit ribosomal RNA", at positions 523 to 918 of the family's 1533-position model. The record is from RNAcentral.
AUACGUAGGGGGCGAGCGUUGUCCGGAAUGAUUGGGCGUAAAGGGCGCGUAGGCGGCCCGGUAAGUCUGGAGUGAAAGUCCUGUUUUUAAGAUGGGAAUUGCUUUGGAUACUGUCGGGCUUGAGUGCAGGAGAGGUAAGUGGAAUUCCCAGUGUAGCGGUGAAAUGCGUAGAGAUUGGGAGGAACACCAGUGGCGAAGGCGACUUACUGGACUGUAACUGACGCUGAGGCGCGAAAGUGUGGGGAGCAAACAGGAUUAGAUACCCUGGUAGUCCACACUGUAAACGAUGAAUGCUAGGUGUAGGGGGUAGCGACCCCUUCUGUGCCGCAGUCAACGCAAUAAGCAUUCCGCGUGGGGAGUACCGCCGCAAGGUUGAAACUCAAAUGAAUUGACGGGG